Molecule: long non-coding RNA, 1468 nt
Filed under: Homo sapiens (human)
Lineage: Eukaryota; Metazoa; Chordata; Mammalia; Primates; Hominidae
Description: HSALNT0151572
Source: RNAcentral
CAGCCCUGUGACAUCUCUGCAAACCUUCUCCCUAUAGUUGCAUAAAGUUUGAGGUGGACAGUAAGUAGUGGAAAGAUGGGUUGAACCUUAUUUCAGAGUGGGAUCUUCAUAGGUUUUUCUCAUCUUGUUUUUAGAAUUUUUUGUUGUUUGUGUAAAGAUGGUAUUACGGAAACAUAAGGUUCAGUGAAGGAACUCAGGAUGAAGGUGGGCUUACAGCACCGCUGUCAGCCUCCCUCCAUGUCCUGUCGCUUCUAGAAACCAAGCCCACACCAAGCACAGCACAAAUAAAAGCCAUCACCCUCUUAUGAAUAAAAAACCGUAUAUAUUGUGGAAUAUUAAAUGUUCUGCGUGUACUAACAUGAGAGAAAAUACUUUUCCUCUACAUAGAGUGAAUUUUUUCUUGGUGACUUGUUUUUCUCUAGGGAAGGCUAAAAAGGAAUUUGUGACUGACCAAAUUAGAUACCUCCCUGAAAAAGACAGUGCCUUGGUCAGUGGUGAUGGUGGCUGGAGGCACUGGGUGUCUUCGGCCGGUGCUGAGGGGGACUGACUGGGGAUACAGCUUUCUUGGGGAGCAAGAGUUGGGGAUGUCGCAGGCCCCAUUGCUCAUUGUUGCACCGGACACUUUUCAAGGGCUGCUGAUCUCUGAUUUGUCUGUCUCUGUUGGGACGACUCUGGUUCUUGAGAGUGGCUUGUUGACUGCUGGCUGCAUAGCUCAGCAUUCUGCUGUGGUCUGAGUAGAACGGGUGUCUGUGGUUGCAGGGAAACCCACAGACUGGGGCUUGAAACUGCUGUCUUUGCUGAUUUACCUUCGAGGCAUGGCGCGCAUGGCAAAGUGACAUGUUCUCCUCCGGUAUCUGUCCAACUGCUGUCAUGAGCCUCUCAGCUUCAGCACUGCUGCCGUACACGCAUGAUCUGUUUUUUACUGUUUUUUGGCUCUCAGCAGUGACUGGUGCUGGCUUCCUUUCUUUCUUUGAAAAAAUCGUCUCAAAAAAUUGCUUGAUGUUUUCUCCAAAGUGGCUUAUUGAAGGAGGCUGUUUCUUUGAUGGCAGUAGCUGGACGCCUUCAUUCUGACGGGUGUCUUCUGUUUUUCUGCCUGGGGUAAGUUGAGGAGUCCUCAAUCCUUGAAACAUUUCUUCAUGUUUUUCUAAGUUGGGCUUCCUAGAGUUCUCCCUCUUGUGAGUAGGGGGAAACAUUGGGCUUUGGCUCUUGCAUGAGCCUUGACAGUUUGGGUUCCUGGGCUCCUUGUGCCCCAUGUUACUCCUUCUGGCUGACAUGAGGUCACAUAGCUCCUGGGAAGCCUGCAUGUUCCCAGUAGGCGUGCUCUGGAGAUGGCCCUGGGGCACUUGAGAAGCCAAAUUCUCUGAAGCAUGGGGCACAACAGAUGCUUGCCCAUCUGGAAGGAGCACAACAGCGGCAGAAACUUGAGGCUGUAUGUGAGGGGCUUAGAUGGCCACCUGCCCUCCUGUCC